Non-coding RNA from Brachypodium distachyon (stiff brome), 136 nucleotides. The record is from Rfam. NCBI's taxonomy places the organism in Eukaryota, Viridiplantae, Streptophyta, Magnoliopsida, Poales, Poaceae.
GUACUACUCCCUCCGUCCAACAAAAGAUGUCUCAAGUUUGUCAAAAUUUAGAUGUAUCUAGACAUAACUUAAUGUAUAGAUACAUUCAAAUUUUGACAAACUUGAGACAUCCUUUAUUGGACAAAGGAAGUAUCAU